GGGCUGGUAGUUCAGGGGUAGUAAUGUUCGGUUCGCAUCCGAAAGGUCGCGGGUUCAAAUCCCGCCCAGUCCA
This 73-nucleotide transfer RNA is filed under the name Nitrososphaeraceae archaeon. RNAcentral describes it as "tRNA-Ala". It matches the Rfam family "tRNA". Rfam says of the family: Transfer RNA (tRNA) molecules are approximately 80 nucleotides in length. Their secondary structure includes four short double-helical elements and three loops (D, anti-codon, and T loops). Further hydrogen bonds mediate the characteristic L-shaped molecular structure. tRNAs have two regions of fundamental functional importance: the anti-codon, which is responsible for specific mRNA codon recognition, and the 3' end, to which the tRNAs corresponding amino acid is attached (by aminoacyl-tRNA synthetases). tRNAs cope with the degeneracy of the genetic code in two manners: having more than one tRNA (with a specific anti-codon) for a particular amino acid; and 'wobble' base-pairing, i.e. permitting non-standard base-pairing at the 3rd anti-codon position. RNAcentral also lists the same sequence under 1 other name. Lineage: Archaea; Thermoproteati; Nitrososphaerota; Nitrososphaeria; Nitrososphaerales; Nitrososphaeraceae. The record is from RNAcentral.